Molecule: ribosomal RNA, 537 nt
Filed under: Triticum aestivum (bread wheat)
Lineage: Eukaryota; Viridiplantae; Streptophyta; Magnoliopsida; Poales; Poaceae
Description: partial small subunit ribosomal RNA
Source: RNAcentral
AUGAACAUUGCCCUCUUGACUAGGUGGCAUUGGCGGAUUACGAAUGGGGAGGGUGGCCUAUGGUUUCGCAUCAUCCAGCAGAAGUACCUUCGGGGCCAACCGCUCGCCUUCUGCCAGCGGUCUGGCGGUUCCCAGUUCUGGCAAUCAAUCAUACAGCUCCUUCCCGUCCUUCGCAUUAGAUCUUCGAUUGCGGUUGGGUCUGGCACUGCCACGCUGUUUUGGUUCGAUUGCUGGGCUGGGGACGCCUCCUUCGCGGCUCGUUUUCCUGACCUAUUCUCCACCAUGGUGGACCCGCGGAUUUCUAUCGCGGCAGCCUUUAUUGACUUAGGGCAACUCGCGUUCCGGCGCCAAUUUGGACCGGCAGAGAAUGCGGCUUGGCAUGACCUGCUCGACUGCAUUGCGCUGCAUGUGCCUGAGCUAGAGGCCGGUGAUGACCGCACCAGGUGGCGGCUAGAGCCAUCUGGACUAUUCUCUACUAAAUCACUCUACCAGGUGAUCGCCCCCUCUUCGGGUCCGGAGGCUCUUACCACCAUCUGA